This 253-nucleotide ribosomal RNA is filed under the name uncultured bacterium. Its description in RNAcentral is "partial 16S ribosomal RNA". It matches the Rfam family "Bacterial small subunit ribosomal RNA", at positions 524 to 776 of the family's 1533-position model. The record is from RNAcentral.
UACAGAGGGUGCAAGCGUUAAUCGGAAUUACUGGGCGUAAAGCGUGCGUAGACGGUUAUUUAAGUCAGGUGUGAAAGCCCCGGGCUCAACCUGGGAAUUGCAUUUGAGACUGAAUAGCUAGGGUGCGGAAGAGGGAAGCGGAAUUCCUGGUGUAGCGGUGAAAUGCGUAGAUAUCAGGAGGAACACCGGUGGCGAAGGCGGCUUUCUGGACAGAUACCGACGCUGAGGCACGAAAGCUAGGGGAGCAAACAGG